Danio rerio (zebrafish) is the source of this 73-nucleotide non-coding RNA. Lineage: Eukaryota; Metazoa; Chordata; Actinopteri; Cypriniformes; Danionidae. The record is from Rfam.
GUGCCGGUAGCACAGUGGUAGUGCACCAGCUUCCUGAAUGGGACAUCGUGGGCUCAAUCCCCACCCCGGCACU